RNAcentral lists this ribosomal RNA (44 nucleotides) under uncultured Russulaceae. RNAcentral's name for it is "partial 18S ribosomal RNA". Lineage: Eukaryota; Fungi; Basidiomycota; Agaricomycetes; Russulales; Russulaceae. The record is from RNAcentral.
GGAGAAGGGAAAAGGUCCGUGGGUGACCUGCGGAAGGAUCAUUA